Molecule: ribosomal RNA, 353 nt
Filed under: uncultured bacterium
Lineage: Bacteria
Description: partial 16S ribosomal RNA
Rfam family: Bacterial small subunit ribosomal RNA
Source: RNAcentral
CCUACGUGUGGCUGCAGUGAGGAAUCUUGGUCAAUGGGCGCUACCCUGACCCAGUCAAGCCGCGUGAAGGAUGACUGCCCUAUGGGUUGUCAACUUCUUUUAUAUGGGAAUAAAGUGCAGUAUGUAUACUGCUUUUCAUGUACCUUAUGAGUAAGGAUCGGCUCACUCCGGGCCAGCAGCCGCGGUAAUACGGAGGAUCCGAGCGUUAUACGGAUUUAUUGGGGUUAAAGGGUGCGUAGGUUGGUUUUUAAGUCAGCGGUGAAAGUUUGUGGCUCAACCAUAAAUUUGGCGUUGACACUGGAAGUCUUGGGUGUGUUGGGGGUAAGCGGAAGGCGUGGUGUAGCGGUGAAAAG